ACUAAGUCUAUACAUGACCACCAUCAUCAUUGAAAUGCAAACAAAAACAUCCCAUUUUAAUUAUUGUUAUACAUGCUGUACCUUUUCACACUGAUAUAGAGCAUUUGCACAUGACGUCACAGCCACCAUGUUGGUGUUCCAAUUCAAAAUAAUUUUAAUUAGACUCUUGUCUGGAACACCAACAUGGCCGCCAUGGCUUUUGUUGAGUUGGCCCGUGGGGAAUGAGUGCAAACGCUCUAUACAACAAGGUCUGAAUCUUGAGACACUGCAAAACCGCAGCCUGAAAUCAAAGCGCCUGGGGACGAGGCUGGCAAAACCAGCAUAUCCAUUAUUCACAAUAAAUGCAAUUUGUGCAUCUGCUUCAUAUGGUGCCAUUAUGUACUGAAUUGAAUAUCUUUUUCACAGCAAAGCUGAAAGGUGGAUAAUAACAAAUUGUUAUUUACUGCACACAACUAGUUUCCAAUUUACUCUUUAUAAUUUUUUAUGCAUUUGUACAUAAAAGGGGUGUCAUUUAAAAACAGGAAUUUGAAUUUUGCAAAACAAAUUGAUCAAACGUCUGAUUAGCAAGGCAUUGGCAUGGAUUAUAAAUUGUUGUGACAUUCCCGUGCACCAAUAAAAUGUAAAUUCUGGGGAGGGGUAUAGGCAAGGUGUAAGGAUUUGGAAUUUUUUAAAAAUUUUUUGGGUAAAUUCUAGUGAGUGGAAGGCUAGAACAAAGUUCUUGAAAACUAGAUAGUAUGUGGUUCAAUUUAAACCACAUCAUUUUUCUUACUCUCCAUAUAUUGUUAUGCAAGGUGUUUUUCUGCCAGCUGCAAAUUGCCAUUGCAAUGAUUUUUUAUUACUUAGGCGCUACUGUAUUUAUAUGAUCUUGGAUACUAGAGACACCCAAUCC
Molecule: non-coding RNA, 889 nt
Organism: Paramuricea clavata
Lineage: Eukaryota; Metazoa; Cnidaria; Anthozoa; Malacalcyonacea; Plexauridae
Source: the annotation of a GenBank genome assembly